Molecule: long non-coding RNA, 359 nt
Filed under: Vitis vinifera (wine grape)
Lineage: Eukaryota; Viridiplantae; Streptophyta; Magnoliopsida; Vitales; Vitaceae
Description: long non-coding RNA (VVIN_LNC005905)
Source: RNAcentral
AGCAAAGGUUACAUUCAUUUUCCCAAGAAAAAAAAAUUGUAUUUUAAACCUCAGGCGCCAUGGCUCAGACCAUGCUGAUCACUCCUAGCGUUUCCGGGCAUUCAGUGCUGGAUUUGAAGCGACAGCCUCUGCUUCAGAGACUCAGGCCCAAGCCAUUCUCCCACCUUCUCCUCCCUCCACUUCCCACCUCUUCCUCCACUUCAUCUCCUGCAUUUACAACUCUUGCUCUCUUCAAAUCAAAGACCAAAGCCGCUCCUUCAAAGAAGGUCCCAUCUCCAUUUCCUCAAUCAUUCUUUACUAUUAUUAUUAUGUCUCAAUCUCUGGGUUCAUUAUUAAUUUCUUGGUAUUUUCCCUGUAAC